Molecule: unclassified non-coding RNA, 23 nt
Filed under: Mus musculus (house mouse)
Lineage: Eukaryota; Metazoa; Chordata; Mammalia; Rodentia; Muridae
Description: oocyte_clustered_small_RNA8888
Source: RNAcentral
CUUCAAUGCUGUAGGCGAUGGCA